RNAcentral lists this ribosomal RNA (258 nucleotides) under uncultured bacterium. RNAcentral's name for it is "partial small subunit ribosomal RNA". It matches the Rfam family "Bacterial small subunit ribosomal RNA", at positions 26 to 285 of the family's 1533-position model. The record is from RNAcentral.
AGGACGGACGCUGGCGGCGUGCUUAACACAUGCAAGUCGAGCGAGGCCCUUCCUUCGGGAAGGUGCCCUAGCGGCGAACGGGUGAGUAACACGUGGGCAACCUGCCCCUAGCACUGGGAUAACUCCGGGAAACCGGGGCUAAUACCGGAUAUGACCUUUGAAGGCAUCUUCGAAGGUGUAAAGGAUUCUGGCUAGGGAUGGGCCCGCGGCCUAUCAGCUUGUUGGUGGGGUAAUGGCCUACCAAGGCGACGACGGGUA